This 397-nucleotide ribosomal RNA is filed under the name uncultured soil bacterium. Its description in RNAcentral is "bacterial SSU rRNA". It matches the Rfam family "Bacterial small subunit ribosomal RNA", at positions 258 to 631 of the family's 1533-position model. The record is from RNAcentral.
UAACGGACUACCAUGGCACCGACUGGUAGCUGGUCUGAGAGGACGACCAGCCACACUGGGACUGAGACACGGACCAGACUCCUACGGGAGGCAGCAGUGGGGUAUUUUGGACAAUGGGCGCAAGCCUGAUCCAGCCAUGCCGGGUGCGGGAAGAAGGCCUUCGUGUUGUAAACCGCUUUUUGUCGGGGGAGAAACGCUCCAGAUUAAUACGUUGUAGUAAUGACGGUCCCCGAAGAAUAAGCACCGGCUAACUAACGUGCCAGCAGCCGCGGUAAUACGUAUGGGUGGCAAGUCGUUAAUCGUUAUUUACUGGGCGUACAGGCGUGCGCAGGCGGUCUUUUGCAAGGACAGAUGUGAAAAUCCGCGCCGGGUCUAUAACCCUGGACAAACUGUCAUU